UACGGAGGAUGCGAGCGUUAUCCGGAUUUAUUGGGUUUAAAGGGUGCGUAGGCGGGCUUUUAAGUCAGCGGUAAAAAUUCGGGGCUCAACCCCGUCCGGCCGUUGAAACUGGGGGCCUUGAGUGGGCGAGAAGAAGGCGGAAUGCGUGGUGUAGCGGUGAAAUGCAUAGAUAUCACGCAGAACUCCGAUUGCGAAGGCAGCAUACCGGCGGCGAUCUGACGCUGAGGCACGAAAGCGUGGGUAUCGAACAGG
Molecule: ribosomal RNA, 252 nt
Filed under: uncultured bacterium
Lineage: Bacteria
Description: partial 16S ribosomal RNA
Rfam family: Bacterial small subunit ribosomal RNA
Source: RNAcentral